GUGCUCACUUUGGCUGCACAUAUACUAAAAUUGGAACAAUACAGGGAAACUAGCAUGGCCCCAAUGAAGGAUAACAUGAAAUCUGUGUAACAUCCAUACAUUUGU
This is a small nuclear RNA of Suricata suricatta (meerkat), 105 nucleotides long. Lineage: Eukaryota; Metazoa; Chordata; Mammalia; Carnivora; Herpestidae. The record is from Ensembl.